GGGGCACUUCCUGGUCGGAGGCUGCCGGUCCCGGGGCAGCGAGCAGGGACGCGCCGCUGGGGAAGGCGGCGGAGGGAGGCCCCGGGAAGAGGAGGAAGCCGAGCAAAGGACAUGUAUACCUCUGAGAAACCUUCUCCAACAAGAUACCUUGCUUCAAGACCUGUCUUGGAUUAUAUACAAAGAAGUUUCCAGUCAUGACUUGUUCCUGGUGAGACUAUCAGCAACUGGGCUGGAGAUAAUUUUCUGACCCAAAAUACAGAUUCAGAGAUCACAAUUAAUGAAUUACAGGAACCUGUGAGGUCUUGACAAGGAAGUUUUGAAUGAAGUUUCAUUAGAAAGGUCUGGGCUUCAGGAGCCAAGGCUGAACUCAGGGUCUUAAAAUUUCAUGACCUCUUUAAAAUGUUGCCCAUGCCAGUAAUGGCUCAAUGUCCUUUAUCUGCCCAAAUUCCUGCAUUUUUCCUUGUUCCAGGAGCAUUGAUGAGGCUGACUGGAAUUGGGUGGGCUCCCUAAGCUCUUGCCUAGGCAGCUGCAUCCAUGGCAGCGCUGCUGCCCUGCAGGGAGAGCAGUGCAGGGGUGGGGAUCAGUGAUCCCUGGCUGAGAUUCUGGUAAAUGCUGCUUUUCCCUUGCUGGAAGUGUGCAUGGAGCUGUAGCUUAAGUUGUUCAGGAAUGUGGUAAUCUUGGGCUUCCUCUAUGCUAAGCAAGGAGAGGCAUCUCCUGAGGGCUAAUCAGAUCUUGGAUGACCCAGUUUCUCACCAAUACUGUAAUUAAACUGCUCCUCUGAAUACACAGAGUGCAUGAAUAGCAAUAAAAUACAAACCCAAAUACUUUGCACAAAACUGAUGCCUCACAUGGGGGGAAUGCAGGGAUGCUAGUGGAAACUUACUUGUUGUUUUAACAUUUGCCUUUUAUCAUGCUGGAUUUUUAUUUAUCCAAUUGACAUAAUGAUGCAGCUUCUCAGACCUUGUGGAUUUUUUCUCCUCAUAGUACAGUUAUUUAAGUAAAUCAGAAUACAAAUGAAAGCUUUUUGAAAUUUGUCUGUAUUUAAACAGAUUUCAAGUUAAUUUUAAAAUUUGUUUUCAUAAUCCUUCCUUUAUUUUUGGUAAUUUUUUAGGAUAUUUAUGGCUGGUAAGUUGUUGCUUCUCUUGCACUUAAAAUUUAUUUUUAGGUCAGAGAGGAAGAUAAACAGUUUUUGAAUUUUAUUUUGUCACAUACUUACUUGAACAAAGUAAGUCUUCAAUCUCCAUAGUCUGAAAUGAAGUUGCAUCUUUGCAGGAGGUUUCAGUUACCAGAAAUGUGUUCAUCACAUCCAGAAGCUGUGUUUACCAGUUCAGUAAUGUCACUUUUAUAGGGCUUUGCUAACACAGAGUUAUUGUAUAAUACUUACUCUUUAAUUUAGUUUAAUUAAUAUGUAGUCAAGUGAAAUUUGUAAAACCCCUUACAUACCUUUCAGAUACAUUGACUGAACAUUUUAAAAAGAUAUUAUAUUUAUUUUUAAAUUUGUUUUUCCAUAAAGGGAACUUAAAAUCUAUCUUCCUUUGGGCUUUUCCCUGGCAGGUUCUUAGGGCUUCUCUAAAUAAAUUAGUGGACCAUGACACCUACUUUUAAAUAGAUGUAAUUUCUGUUUGUAAGCCAAAAAGUUGACAUUGGCAGGAAACUAUUGGUAGUUUUGAGCUGACAGGGAGCUGUGGCAGGAAAAUGACCAUCAUUAAUAUUGUUGGAGUUUCAGUGUUUUUGUAUACACACACUGUUCCCCAAAUGUGUCUUUUUUAGGCAUUUGCACUUCACAUUUAUUCUGCUGUGUUUGUGCUGGAAAUUAAGGUUGACUUGUUUACAAAUUAUUUACUAUGGUACUCCAGCUGUGUGUGUCUCUAAAACAAGAAGGAUGAUAGAAAGAUGGUUAUGAGAGUAAUUUAUGUAUAUUUAAACAUUCAUUGCAUGCUUUAUUCAUCAUAUAUAUUUUAUGUAAUUACUUUCUCUUUACAAUGUAAAACUAUA
Catharus ustulatus (Swainson's thrush) is the source of this 1995-nucleotide long non-coding RNA. RefSeq lists it as uncharacterized. The record is from RefSeq and is a predicted model, not a curated record. The transcript is spliced from 3 exons. Lineage: Eukaryota; Metazoa; Chordata; Aves; Passeriformes; Turdidae.